Molecule: ribosomal RNA, 972 nt
Filed under: Paenibacillus pabuli
Lineage: Bacteria; Bacillati; Bacillota; Bacilli; Caryophanales; Paenibacillaceae
Description: bacterial SSU rRNA
Rfam family: Bacterial small subunit ribosomal RNA
Source: RNAcentral
UCGAAUGUAAAGUUCUGUGCCAGGAAGACAGNUGGGAGAGUANCUCUUUCAGGNGCNGUGCUUGAGAAGAAACCCGUGAUAAGUACGUCACACCAGCUAGGUUAUUCGUNUGGGUAAANUUUGUCCGGAUUUUUGGGUGUAAAGCGCGUGCAGGUGGUCUUCUAAGUGUGNCAUUAAUCGCGGGUCUAACCCGGGAUAACACUGAAAGUGGGAUGAUUGGAGUCAAGAAGAUGGAGAGUGCAUUUCACCGNGCAGUGAUGAAAUGCGUAGAGAUGUGGAGGAGCAUCAGUGCCGAAGNGGUCUCUAUGGNCUGUAACUGCAGCGGAGGCGAGAGAGCAUNGAGAGCAAUUAGGAUUAGAUGCCCUGGUAGUUCUCUCCGUAAUUGAUGAAUGCUAGUUGUAAGGGGUUCUGAUCCCCUGGGUUCAAAAGUUACCGCAUUAAGCAUUCUCCGGGGGGAGUCCGGUGGCAAGACUGAAACUCAAAGAAAUUGACGGGGACCCGCACAACCAGCGGAGUAUGUGGUUUAAUUUGAACCAAUGCGAAGACCCUUGCCAGGUGUUGACUUCCUUCUGGCGGGUUUAGAGAUAGCCCUUUCCUUCGGGACAGAGGAGACAGUUGGUGCAUGUUUUUCGUCACCUCGUGUCGUGAGAUGUUGGGUUAAUUCCCCCAUCGAGCGCAACCCUUGAUCUUAGUUGCCACCCCUUGGGGUGGGCUCUCUAAGGUGACUGCCGGUGACAAUCCGGAGGAAGGUGGGGAUGCCGUCAAAUCAUCAUCCCCCUUAUGCCCUGGGCUACACACGUCCUACAAUGGCCGGUACAACGGCCCGCGAAGCCGCGAGGUGGAGCUAAUCCUAAAAAGCCGGUUUCAGUUCGGAUUGCAGGUUGCAACUCGCCUGCAUGAAGUCGGAAUUGUUAGUAAUCGCGGAUCAGCAUGCCGCGGUGAAUACGUUCCCGGGUCUUGUACACACCGCCC